GGCCUAGUAGCGAAAUUGUUUAUCGCAUCCACUCCCAAUCGAAAAGCUCCUCUAUGAUUAUGUGGAAGUUCCUCGUUCAACUCGAGGUUAGGUCA
This is a non-coding RNA of Mycena rebaudengoi, 95 nucleotides long. The record is from the annotation of a GenBank genome assembly. NCBI's taxonomy places the organism in Eukaryota, Fungi, Basidiomycota, Agaricomycetes, Agaricales, Mycenaceae.